UCGAGAAUUUUUGACAAUGGGGGAAACCCUGAUCGAGCGACGCCGCGUGGAGGAUGAAGGUCUUCGGGUUGUAAACUCCUGUCAUUUGGGAACAAGUCGUAUUUAUUAACUGUAAGUACGUUGAUAGUACCAGAAGAGGAAGGGACGGCUAACUCUGUGCCAGCAGCCGCGGUAAUACAGAGGUCUCAAGCGUUGUUCGGAUUCAUUGGGCGUAAAGGGUGUGUAGGUGGCGCGCUAAGUCGGGUGUGAAAUUUCGGAGCUUAACUCCGAAACUGCAUUCGAUACUGGCGUGCUUGAGGACUGGAGAGGAGACUGGAAUUUACGGUGUAGCAGUGAAAUGCGUAGAUAUCGUAAGGAAGACCAGUGGCGAAGGCGGGUCUCUGGACAGUUCCUGACACUGAGACACGAAGGCCAGGGGAGCAAACGGGAUUAGAUACCCCCGUAGUCC
This 448-nucleotide ribosomal RNA is filed under the name uncultured bacterium. Its description in RNAcentral is "bacterial SSU rRNA". It matches the Rfam family "Bacterial small subunit ribosomal RNA", at positions 355 to 796 of the family's 1533-position model. The record is from RNAcentral.